RNAcentral lists this transfer RNA (77 nucleotides) under Ferrovibrio sp. Its description in RNAcentral is "tRNA-Arg". It matches the Rfam family "tRNA". From Rfam's summary of the family: Transfer RNA (tRNA) molecules are approximately 80 nucleotides in length. Their secondary structure includes four short double-helical elements and three loops (D, anti-codon, and T loops). Lineage: Bacteria; Pseudomonadati; Pseudomonadota; Alphaproteobacteria; Rhodospirillales; Rhodospirillaceae. The record is from RNAcentral. RNAcentral also lists the same sequence under 9 other names.
GUGCCCUUAGCUCAGUUGGAUAGAGCAGCCGCCUUCUAAGCGGCAGGUCGGUGGUUCGAAUCCACCAGGGCACGCCA